This 922-nucleotide ribosomal RNA is filed under the name Leucobacter chironomi. RNAcentral describes it as "bacterial SSU rRNA". It matches the Rfam family "Bacterial small subunit ribosomal RNA", at positions 43 to 975 of the family's 1533-position model. Lineage: Bacteria; Bacillati; Actinomycetota; Actinomycetes; Micrococcales; Microbacteriaceae. The record is from RNAcentral.
GGGGCUUAACACAUGGCAAGUCGAACGCUGAAGCCCGAGCUUGCUCGGGUGGAUGAGUGGCGAACGGGUGAGUAACACGUGAGUAACCUGCCCAUGUCUCUGGGAUAAGCGCUGGAAACGGCGUCUAAUACUGGAUACGAGCAUCCACUGCAUGGUGAGGUGUUGGAAAGAUUUAUCGGACAUGGAUGGACUCGCGGCCUAUCAGCUUGAUGGUGAGGUAAUGGCUCACCAUGGCGACGACGGGUAGCCGGCCUGAGAGGGUGACCGGCCACACUGGGACUGAGACACGGCCCAGACUCCUACGGGAGGCAGCAGUGGGGAAUAUUGCACAAUGGGCGCAAGCCUGAUGCAGCAACGCCGCGUGAGGGAUGACGGCCUUCGGGUUGUAAACCUCUUUUGUCAGGGAAGAAGCCUUCGGGUGACGGUACCUGGAGAAAAAGCACCGGCUAACUACGUGCCAGCAGCCGCGGUAAUACGUAGGGUGCAAGCGUUGUCCGGAAUUAUUGGGCGUAAAGAGCUCGUAGGCGGCUUGUCGCGUCUGCUGUGAAAACCCGAGGCUCAACCUCGGGCCUGCAGUGGGUACGGGCAGGCUAGAGUGCGGUAGGGGAGAUUGGAAUUCCUGGUGUAGCGGUGGAAUGCGCAGAUAUCAGGAGGAACACCGAUGGCGAAAGGCAGAUCUCUGGGCCGCUACUGACGCUGAGGAGCGAAAGCAUGGGGAGCGAACAGGAUUAGAUACCCUGGUAGUCCAUGCCGUAAACGUUGGGAACUAGAUGUAGGGCCUGUUCCACGGGUUCUGUGUCGUAGCUAACGCAUUAAGUUCCCCGCCUGGGGAGUACGGCCGCAAGGCUAAACUCAAAGGAAUUGACGGGGGCCCGCACAGCGGCGGAGCAUGCGAUUAUUCGAUGCAACGCGAGACCUUACA